GCCAAGGGCAGUGGUGUGCACCUGUAGUCCCAGCUACUCAGGAGGCUGAGGCAGGAGGAUCACUUGAGCUCAGGAGCUCUGAGCUGUAGUGCACUGUGCCAACUGGGUGUCUGCACUAAGUUUGGCAUCAAUAUGGUGACCUCCCAGCAGUCGGGGACUACCAGGUUGCCUGAGGGAGGUGUGAACCUACCCAGGUCAGAACUGGAGCAGAUCAAGACUCCCAUGCUGAUCAGUAGUGGAAUCUCACCUGCGAAUAGCCACUGCACUCCAGCCUGACCAACAUAGACCCCAUCUCAA
Non-coding RNA from Nomascus leucogenys (northern white-cheeked gibbon), 297 nucleotides. It matches the Rfam family "Metazoan signal recognition particle RNA". From Rfam's summary of the family: The signal recognition particle (SRP) is a universally conserved ribonucleoprotein. The record is from Rfam. Lineage: Eukaryota; Metazoa; Chordata; Mammalia; Primates; Hylobatidae.